UCUUUCCUUAGACGGCGUCAUGCACAUGUGAGAUCUAGGGAGAGGAAGAGGAGGAAGGGUUGUGGGGACCGGGGGUGCGAGAUGGUGGAUUCACCUGCAACUACAAGAAAACAAAGAGCGAGAGAUUUACAGAAACCUCUAGAGCCGUGGAGGAGGAGGAGAUUUGGAGGAUCUCUACGACACUGACGGAUUAGUUAAGGAACGAAAGAUCACAUCGUGUCCGGUAACCAGAUUCAGAUGUGGACGCCGUGCGUGGGUGCGAGGCCAAGCCGAGGUGAAAGAGAUGAAGAGCGUGACCAAGAACUUCCUGAUUUUUCAUCAUUUAUUCCAUUCUUACCUCCUCUGAGUGCAGCUAAUCUAAAGGUCUACUAUGCCACACGUUUCACCAUCAUAGUUGGGAUAAUGGUGUUCGGUGGUUUUCUUGCACCAAUCGUAAGUCACAGUUCUCAAUUUUGGAAC
Long non-coding RNA from Zea mays, 459 nucleotides. RefSeq lists it as uncharacterized. The transcript has 3 exons. The record is from RefSeq and is a predicted model, not a curated record. NCBI's taxonomy places the organism in Eukaryota, Viridiplantae, Streptophyta, Magnoliopsida, Poales, Poaceae.